GCACAAAGAUCAACCAAUGACAGGGAGACUUUCAACAUCCCUGGGGGAUAAGAAAGAGAGUAUGACUCAUGAUACCCCAAGGAAAUCCUAAAAGGAGCCACAGCCCUUUGCACACACUGGUCAAGCUUUCUGAAAACCCAAGGACAAUCUGAAUCAGCACUAGCUGAUGUACUGCUAGUUAACCACAUUACUGUUGUUUCAGGAUAUAUAUAUUAAAAAAAAAAACCUCAUGCUGUAUAUUAUCACCUUGAUAAAAGAAUACUAGAGAGGAAAUGGACCCAAACGUUUAUCACUAAAUUCUGGGAUAAUAUGCAGGCUAAUUUUCUUCUAUACAUUUAUUUCCAUGUUCUAAAAUUUCUACAAGGAGCUAUACACACCACUUUUGUAUUAAGAGAAAUCUAACAUUGACAUCCACUAGUGAGUCGCACAGGUGCACAGCAGAGAGCACUCUUGCUCCCUUUGGGUCAGGUGAGGACAAGAAGGACUCUUAUCUUUGGUGAGUGGGGGCACCGCGAACAGAAGCACUCAUUCCCCAGGUAGAAGCAAUGACAGCAGAGCUUAGCCUACCUUAUCCUUAUGCAUGCAACCUGAAGGAAGAAAAACAAAGCAGAUGAGGGCUGAUGGAAAGGCAGUGGACUCAUUCCUAUGGCCCAACCACCCCCACAUAAAUGCCUCAUCAAUUCCUACCUCAGAGCCAAUCAGCAGACUUUCCUCCCUAAGCAUACGGCAGAUUCAAUCACUCAGAUGAUUCUACUAUUAACAAUGCUAGAUAAACAACUCUCAAAGGAGAACAUCUUCCUAAACACCAAGUAGGUGAGAAGAGCAUGAAAAAAUAAAAGUGAACCCAGAGACAGAAGCAGGGUGGUCAGGCUAUCUCCUUGAGAGUCCUUGUCUAUCCAGGUAAACAGGCUUUCAUUUCAACAGCCUCACAGGGUAAAGGGAAGGACCCACUUGAGGCAGGAGUCUGCUAGGACACAUUUUCCUACAGAAAGCUCAGGCCCCAAAGAGCUAUACUCUCAGGCUAAGGGUGAACUAGAAAUUGAGCAUCCCCACCCAGCCCCAGGGAACCUCAAGAAAAGUUGCUUUAAGGCUAAGAAUAACAGAAAGGUCCUGCAGAGUCAUAAUCACAUCUGCAGACCAAACUCAGAUGGAUGCAAGGAUUCUUCAAUAUCCUCAAAUCAAUCAACGUAAUUCACCAC
This 1199-nucleotide long non-coding RNA is filed under the name Capra hircus (goat). RNAcentral describes it as "lncRNA (ENSCHIG00010012668.1)". The record is from RNAcentral. Lineage: Eukaryota; Metazoa; Chordata; Mammalia; Artiodactyla; Bovidae.